RNAcentral lists this ribosomal RNA (500 nucleotides) under Aciagrion migratum. RNAcentral's name for it is "partial large subunit ribosomal RNA". It matches the Rfam family "Bacterial large subunit ribosomal RNA", at positions 1839 to 2622 of the family's 2925-position model. The record is from RNAcentral. Lineage: Eukaryota; Metazoa; Arthropoda; Insecta; Odonata; Coenagrionidae.
AUAUAUUUAACAGGUCAGACCUGCCCGGUGAUGAAUUUAACGGCCGCGGUAUAUUGACCGUGCAAAGGUAGCAUAAUCAUUAGUCUUUUAAUAGGAGGCUGGAAUGAAAGGUUUAACGAGAAAUUAUCUGUCUCAAUUACAAAAUUGAAUUUAUCUUUUAAGUCAAAAGACUUAAAUUAUGUUGGUGGACGAGAAGACCCUAUAGAGCUUUACAUAUUUUUAAUAAUUUGCUUUUUUAGGUUAAAUAUGUUUUGUUGGGGUGACAAUAAAUAUAUAUUUAACUUUUAUCAUAUUAUUUACAUUAAUAUAUGAUUUUUGGAUCCAAAAAUUUUGAUCAAUAGAUCAAGUUACCUUAGGGAUAACAGCGUAAUUUUCCCUCAGAGUUCAUAUUUACGGGAAAGAUUGCGACCUCGAUGUUGGAUUAAGAUAAUAAUUAGGUGCAGUAGCCUAAUUAAUAGGUCUGUUCGACCCUUAAAUUCUUACAUGAUAAAUAACGCCAC